Molecule: long non-coding RNA, 354 nt
Filed under: Zonotrichia albicollis (white-throated sparrow)
Lineage: Eukaryota; Metazoa; Chordata; Aves; Passeriformes; Passerellidae
Description: lncRNA (ENSZALG00000018156.1)
Source: RNAcentral
AUGUUAUCACUGCAAUCAGAUGCUUCAGCACUUCAGACAAUCCAAUGCUUGACAGAACCAGUCAAAUUUAGCUACAAGGAUCAGAGAUACCACUCCCUCACAAGAAGUUCAAAUAUACUUGUUUUUACAGCUAACAGCAGCCAGCUCCAGCCACAAAAGCAAAAUCUGUCUCUCAGAAAAAAAAACCAAAGCCCUAGCACCUCUAGUACAUCCAGCAACAAAAGCACCUACCAGAGAACAUCAAAUCUCUAUACAGUGUCAGAAUUGAGCAGUGGACCCAAGCCUGCAGACAGGAAGCAAGCUACUGACAGAGGAUGCUCAGCCUACAAAAGGUCACCCUUUGGCAUCACGUAA